AACGAACGCUGGCGGCAUGCCUAACACAUGCCAGUCGAACGAGACCUUCGGGUCUAGUGGCGCACGUGUGCGUAACGCGUGGGAACCUGCCCUUAGGUUCGGAAUAACUCCCCGAAAGGGGUGCUAAUACCGGAUAAUGUCUUCGGACCAAAGAUUUAUCGCCUUUGGAUGGGCCCGCGUUGGAUUAGCUAGUUGGUAGGGUAAAAGCCUACCAAGGCGACGAUCCAUAGCUGGUCUGAGAGGAUGAUCAGCCACACUGGGACUGAGACACGGCCCAGACUCCUACGGGAGGCAGCAGUGGGGAAUAUUGGACAAGGGGCGAAAGCCUGAUCCAGCAAUGCCGCGUGAGUGAUGAAGGCCUUAGGGUUGUAAAGCUCUUUUACCCGGGAUGAUAAUGACAGUACCGGGAGAAUAAGCUCCGGCUAACUCCGUG
This 433-nucleotide ribosomal RNA is filed under the name uncultured bacterium. Its description in RNAcentral is "partial 16S ribosomal RNA". It matches the Rfam family "Bacterial small subunit ribosomal RNA", at positions 29 to 507 of the family's 1533-position model. The record is from RNAcentral.